Molecule: ribosomal RNA, 1161 nt
Filed under: human vaginal metagenome
Description: bacterial SSU rRNA
Rfam family: Bacterial small subunit ribosomal RNA
Source: RNAcentral
CCUACGGGAGGCAGCAGUGGGGAAUUUUGCACAAUGGGGGAAACCCUGAUGCAGCGACGCCGCGUGAUUUAGAAGGCCUUCGGGUUGUAAAAAUCUUUUUUAUGGGAUGAAAAUGACAGUACCAUAAGAAUAAGGUCCGGCUAAAUACGUGCCAGCAGCCGCGGUAAUACGUAUGGACCGAGCGUUGUCCGGAAUCAUUGGGCGUAAAGGGUACGUAGGCGGCCCAGUAAGUUAGAAGUGAAAUAAUAUAGCUCAACUAUAUAAAGCUUUUAAAACUGCUAGGCUUGAGAGAUGGAAGGGAAAGUGGAAUUCCUAGUGUAGCGGUGAAAUGCGCAGAUAUUAGGAAGAAUACCGGUGGCGAAGGCGACUUUCUGGUCAUCAUCUGACGCUGAGGUACGAAAGCGUGGGUAGCAAACAGGAUUAGAUACCCUGGUAGUCCACGCUGUAAACGAUGAGUGUUAGGUUCUUGGAAUAAUCUGGGAGCCGCAGCUAACGCAUUAAACACUCCGCCUGGGGAGUACGCACGCAAGUGUGAAACUCAAAGGAAUUGACGGGGACCCGCACAAGCAGCGGAGCAUGUGGUUUAAUUCGACGCAACGCGAAGAACCUUACCAAGUCUUGACAUAAUACGGAGGGAAUUAGAGAUAGUUUCUUAAGACUUCGGUCUACUGUAUUACAGGUGGUGCAUGGUUGUCGUCAGCUCGUGUCGUGAGAUGUUGGGUUAAGUCCCAUAACGAGCGCAACCCCUAUCGUUAGUUACCAUCAUUAAGUUGGGGACUCUAGCGAUACUGCCGGUGAUAAACCGGAGGAAGGUGGGGACGACGUCAAAUCAUCAUGCCCUUUAUGACUUGGGCUACACACGUGCUACAAUGGCAGGUACAGAGGGCAGCGAAAGAGCGAUCUGAAGCGAAACUCAAAAAACCUGUCCCAGUUCGGAUUGUACUCUGCAACUCGAGUACAUGAAGUUGGAGUUGCUAGUAAUCGCGAAUCAGAAUGUCGCGGUGAAUGCGUUCCCGGGUCUUGUACACACCGCCCGUCACACCAUGGGAGUUGGCAAUACCCGAAGCCUGUGAGCGAACCUUUUAGGACGCAGCAGUCGAAGGUAGGGUCAGUAACUGGGGUGAAGUCGUAACAAGGUAGCCGUAUCGGAAGGUGCGGCUG